Molecule: ribosomal RNA, 455 nt
Filed under: Colletotrichum truncatum
Lineage: Eukaryota; Fungi; Ascomycota; Sordariomycetes; Glomerellales; Glomerellaceae
Description: partial large subunit ribosomal RNA
Rfam family: Eukaryotic large subunit ribosomal RNA
Source: RNAcentral
CUUGCGUCCGGUGAAUCACCCAGCUCUCGCGGCUGGGGCAUUUUGCCGGCUCAGGCCAGCAUCAGCUUGCCGUCGGGGACAAAAGCUUCGGGAAAGUAGCUCUCUUCGGGGAGUGUUAUAGCCCGUUGCAUAAUACCCUUCGGUGGGCUGAGGUACGCGCUCCGCAAGGAUGCUGGCGUAAUGGUCAUCAGCGACCCGUCUUGAAACACGGACCAAGGAGUCAACCUUAUGUGCGAGUGUUUGGGUGUUAAACCCCUACGCGUAAUGAAAGUGAACGCAGGUGAGAGCUUCGGCGCAUCAUCGACCGAUCCUGAUGUUCUCGGAUGGAUUUGAGUAAGAGCAUAUAGGGUUGGACCCGAAAGAAGGUGAACUAUGCGUGUAUAGGGUGAAGCCAGAGGAAACUCUGGUGGAGGCUCGCAGCGGUUCUGACGUGCAAAUCGAUCGUCAAAUAUGCG